UUUUUACGGAGAGUUUGAUCCUGGCUCAGGACGAACGCUGGCGGCGUGCUUAACACAUGCAAGUCGAACGAUGAUGC
This 77-nucleotide ribosomal RNA is filed under the name Curtobacterium sp. PhB78. RNAcentral describes it as "partial 16S ribosomal RNA". It matches the Rfam family "Bacterial small subunit ribosomal RNA", at positions 1 to 75 of the family's 1533-position model. RNAcentral also lists the same sequence under 2 other names. Lineage: Bacteria; Bacillati; Actinomycetota; Actinomycetes; Micrococcales; Microbacteriaceae. The record is from RNAcentral.